This 1098-nucleotide long non-coding RNA is filed under the name Sus scrofa (pig). RNAcentral describes it as "lncRNA (ENSSSCG00035032051.1)". Lineage: Eukaryota; Metazoa; Chordata; Mammalia; Artiodactyla; Suidae. The record is from RNAcentral.
CGAGGAAGCGGCAAAAGGAGAGGAGGGUGAACUGCUCCAACCUGAGGAUGAUUUGCUGUGAUAUUACUGCUACUGCUAUAGAUCUCUGUGUUGCUUGAAGCAACUUCAGGAGAAAGGAAGUAGAAAUCUACUGCUAAACUAGACGCCCGAACAACCUGGAUGAGAUAAAGUGCCUUUUAUUCAGAGAUAAGUGUGUGUUUAUUUUACUUUCCCUACUAGAUUACAGCUCGCCUGAGGAUGGAAGUACUGUGGUUUGUUUCGUUUCCAUCUGCCUUUUCCAGAAUCACAGCUCUGGACAUGGCUGGUCAGUAGAUGAAUCAAUGACUGUCUGAGGUUGCUGUACCGACCAUUCGGCGGAGCACGUGUUUAAUGGAGCUCUGCCUACGGUGAGGGUCUGGGGGCGAGCUUUACACUCUGCUGUCACCUGUCGCUGUGCUCGCCUUGGCAAGAGGAUUGGCUGGAGUUAGAGUCAGAUUCGAGCGCUUUGAGAUGACUAAAUAGGUUCAGCUCCAGCAGAGCUAGCUUUUUGCUAGUUAAUUUUUACUGGUAUAAAAGAAUCCUUCUCUUCAUCAGCCUCACUGCUAGCAAACCAGCAGCAGAUGACCUGGAGCACAACACAAGGAAAUUAAGUAGGAGGCAGAGGUGGGGAGGAAGGAGUCUAGGCUUUAGAGUCAUUUUUCUCAAAGCCUUCCCGAGAAGGCAUCUGCGGGGCAGUAUUUUUAUUUUUAUUUUAUUUUUUUGUCUUUUGCUUUUUAGGGUCACAUCCUCAGUUCCCAGGCUAGGGGUCCAAUCAGAGCUGUAGCUGCCAGCCUAUACCACAGUCACUGCAACUCAGGAUCCGAGCUGUGUCUGCGACCUACACCACAGCUCUCUAACCCACUGAGAGAGGCCAGGGAUUGAAUCUGAGUCCUUGUGGAUACUGGUCGGGUUCGUUAACCACUGAGCUGCGACGGGAACUCCUGUGGGGCAGUAUUUUUUAAAAAUACAGCUUCCUGGGCCCCACGUGGGACCCACAGAAUUCCACUCUCCUUCCUCUUGAUUUUUUUGACUUAGGUUUUUUUUCGUUCACAUUAAAAUUUGAGAACCACCACUCUAAAG